Molecule: ribosomal RNA, 253 nt
Filed under: uncultured bacterium
Lineage: Bacteria
Description: partial 16S ribosomal RNA
Rfam family: Bacterial small subunit ribosomal RNA
Source: RNAcentral
GACGGAGGGGGCAAGCGUUGUUCGGAAUUACUGGGCGUAAAGAGCGUGUAGGCGGUCUGAUAAGUCGAGUGUGAAAGCCCGAGGCUCAACUUCGGAAGUGCACUCGAAACUGCCAGGCUUGAGUACGGGAGAGGGAAGUGGAAUUCCUGGUGUAGAGGUGAAAUUCGUAGAUAUCAGGAGGAACACCGGUGGCGAAGGCGGCUUCCUGGACCGAUACUGACGCUGAGAAGCGAAAGCGUGGGGAGCAAACAGG